AGCAGCCGCGGUAAUUCCAGCUCCAAUAGCGUAUAUUAAAGUUGUUGCAGUUAAAAAGCUCGUAGUUGAAUUUCGAGACCGGUUUACUGGUCGUGCUUUUGUACGUACUGGUAUAAUCGGUUUCUCUCUUCUGACGAACUAUAAUGCCAUUAAUUUUGUGUUAUAGGGAAUCAGGACUGUUACUUUGAAAAAAU
This 194-nucleotide ribosomal RNA is filed under the name uncultured Entrophospora. RNAcentral's name for it is "uncultured Claroideoglomus partial 18S ribosomal RNA". It matches the Rfam family "Eukaryotic small subunit ribosomal RNA", at positions 569 to 766 of the family's 1831-position model. Lineage: Eukaryota; Fungi; Glomeromycota; Glomeromycetes; Entrophosporales; Entrophosporaceae. The record is from RNAcentral.